AAGAACUCCCUGCGCCUCCAUGCAGCCUAGCAUGGAUUGAAGGUGCCGGCGGUUGAGAAAGAACCAAGGGUAGAGCACACAGAAGCAGAGCAAGGUCCUCUGAUGCAGGAUGAAACUGUUGCAGAUUCACGUAUGUUGGAGCCUGAUUCAGUGCUGCUGGGGCCAGAGACAACAGAGGAACACAGAGUACCAGAAGAGACACAAGUGAUGUUGGAGGAACCGAUGCUAGAGGCAGAUUACCUGACUGAAGAGAUGCCAGAGACAGAACUAGAGCCUGAGCCAGAAAUAACUGCCAUUCAGAUGAACAGAAACAUCAUACCUGUGGAGGAAGCUGUACAACAGUUAGAGUCUGAAACUAAUAUAGAGGUGGAAGAUGAAAAAGAAGAAAAUGUAGUAAAGGAGGAGCCUACACUUGAGGCUGAUUAUAUAGAGGUUGAAGAUCCAGAAAUACAAAUGGAACUUGGGAGGGAAAGACGAAGGACACAGAUUGGGAGAUGGACUUGUAGAGGAGUUGUCCUACAGGGCAAAUGUUACCAGUACUUCACAAGAAACCUUGAUGCCUAUACUGCUGAGUUACAAUGUCAAUCUAUCUGCCCCAAUGGCCACCUGGCCUCUGUGACAAGCAGCUACAUUCGUGACGGAAUGGGCAAGUUAAUGGACCGGUAUGGCGGGCGCACUCGCGCAUGGCUUGGAGGACGGAGAAUCAUUGGUACAAAUAAUUUUGUUUGGUUGGAUGGAACGCAGUGGAGCUAUAAUGGCUGGGCUUUUGGAGAGCCCAAUAAUGCUGGUGGGAUGGAGAAUUGCGUGGAGACGUGGAGUAAGUGUUGCUACUGAACAACAGUUAACAAAAAUCUGUCAAUAAAAAGUCACAUUCAUUGCACAGAUCCAAAGGAAUAAUAUAUAAAUAUUAACUCCUUCACCUAAGUUUUAUUCUCUGUGUUCCUUUUGUAGUGAUGCCUUCCUCUUUUCAUGAUCUGUCUUUACCAGUUUUUACAAAGCUUUGUCUAUUUUCAGAUGAUCUGGCGUUCAGUGAUGUACCAUGCGCAAUACCCAAACCGUUCAUCUGUUCCUGUCCAGUUUAGACAGCCAGAAGGUUAACCUAACCUGCU
RNAcentral lists this long non-coding RNA (1109 nucleotides) under Sinocyclocheilus grahami. Its description in RNAcentral is "lncRNA (ENSSGRG00000039233.1)". The record is from RNAcentral. Lineage: Eukaryota; Metazoa; Chordata; Actinopteri; Cypriniformes; Cyprinidae.